Molecule: small nucleolar RNA, 139 nt
Organism: Meriones unguiculatus (Mongolian gerbil)
Lineage: Eukaryota; Metazoa; Chordata; Mammalia; Rodentia; Muridae
Product: small nucleolar RNA SNORA48
Exons: 1
Source: RefSeq, a predicted model, not a curated record
ACUCUUUGGCAAUGGGAAAAGAGACACCUUGUUAGUGGCAUUGUUCUUAUAUCAGUCAGGGGCAGAGCAGUUGGCUUUGCUCAUCCUAGCCUGAUGCCUGCCUUUGUAUCCAAAGCUCUCUUUGGCCUAGGACUCAUAA